This 253-nucleotide ribosomal RNA is filed under the name uncultured bacterium. RNAcentral describes it as "partial 16S ribosomal RNA". It matches the Rfam family "Bacterial small subunit ribosomal RNA", at positions 524 to 776 of the family's 1533-position model. The record is from RNAcentral.
UACGUAGGGUGCGAGCGUUAAUCGGAAUUACUGGGCGUAAAGCGUGCGUAGACGGCUAUCUAAGUCGGGUGUGAAAGCCCCGGGCUCAACCUGGGAAUUGCAUUCGAGACUGAAUAGCUAGGGUACGGUAGAGGGAAGCGGAAUUUCCGGUGUAGCGGUGAAAUGCGUAGAUAUCGGAAGGAACAUCAGUGGCGAAAGCGACUUCCUGGACGAAUACUGACGCUCAUGUGCGAAAGCGUGGGGAGCAAACAGG